RNAcentral lists this unclassified non-coding RNA (331 nucleotides) under soil metagenome. Its description in RNAcentral is "partial contains 5.8S ribosomal RNA, internal transcribed spacer 2, and large subunit ribosomal RNA". The stretch from base 1 to 120 matches the Rfam family "5.8S ribosomal RNA", at positions 35 to 154 of the family's 154-position model. The record is from RNAcentral.
GAUGAAGAACGCAGCGAAAUGCUAUAAGUAAUGUGAAUUGCAGAAUUCAGUGAAUCAUCGAAUCUUUGAACGCACAUUGCGCCCCCUGGUAUUCCGGGGGGCAUGCCUGUUCGAGCGUCAUUUCACCACUCAAGCCUCGCUUGGUAUUGGGCAACGCGGUCCGCCGCGUGCCUCAAAUCGACCGGCUGGGUCUUCUGUCCCCUAAGCGUUGUGGAAACUAUUCGCUAAAGGGUGUUCGGGAGGUUACGCCGUAAAACAACCCCAUUUCUAAGGUUGACCUCGGAUCAGGUAGGGAUACCCGCUAAACUUAAGCAUAUCAAUAAGCGGAGGA